CCCUAGCCCUGAUAGAAGCGGCAUCCUUUUGUGGCGGGGUUCGCCACAAAAGAUAUAGCGGAUAGCAGGAAAUAGC
Molecule: small RNA, 76 nt
Filed under: Flavobacterium chilense
Lineage: Bacteria; Pseudomonadati; Bacteroidota; Flavobacteriia; Flavobacteriales; Flavobacteriaceae
Description: Flavo-1 RNA
Rfam family: Flavo-1 RNA
Source: RNAcentral